Molecule: long non-coding RNA, 3282 nt
Filed under: Mus musculus (house mouse)
Lineage: Eukaryota; Metazoa; Chordata; Mammalia; Rodentia; Muridae
Description: long non-coding RNA chr13:94837966-94841248
Source: RNAcentral
AGUUUUGAGCAGCAAUAUAUUUGGGGUGUGUGUGUGUACACAUGCUUUUUUUGACAAAUAACUGAGCUAACUGUUUAAAAAUUUGAUUCAAUCCAGUGUCUCACAUUAAUUUGGUUCUUGUUUAAAACAGCUGGAAUUUUAGAUUCAAACCUGUAAACUUGAGAGAAAGGGAAGCCAAAGGUAAUGGAGGCAGAGCUGAGCUCUCAGGAAGCCACUGAGGUGUGUGGCACUGCUAUCCUUACUGUUAAAGCAUACAGUGCUCAGCUGACUUUAGGAAUGAGGAAGUGGAAGUAUAAGUGAAAGCCGUCUUGUUUCUUUUUAAUAGUUAACCAGAUGCACGGUGUGACUGUCUUAGCUCCACUCUCGGUUGCUGUGAUAGAACACCCUGACAAAAGCAGCUUCAGGGACUGAGAGCUUCCUUGGCUUAGAUUGCAGGUUACAUUAUCACUGCAGGGAUGGCUGGCUACAGGGUCAAGUUAUGUACAUAGUGGAGGCCAGAAAGCUGAGAGCUGGUGUUCCCAGUGGGUCUACUCCCUGUCAGCUUGACGACUAAAGCCAGCCAUCACACCCUACUUCUCUACUUGACACACAGGCACCACUGUAAGCAGUACCUUCUCUACCCUUUGUCCCCAGAGUCUCACGUUCAUCUCCUGGUGUGGAUUACAGGCCACCUUUAGAAGUUCUUAUUGUCUUUACAUUUUCCAAUAUUUUAAAAGUCUGGAAUCUUGUAACUGAGUUCCUAUAAAAUCAAAAAUAAGUUGUAUAUUUUCAGCAUAAAAUAUAGAGUGAACAUUCAGUACAGAGUAAACAUUCCUGUUUCAAAAAGAAUUGGGCACAACAAGAAGUAAACAAACGAAGCUCCAUCAGAGAAAACACCAAAUCCUGCAGCUCUUUGUCCUGCAUCUGAGGCUUGUAAUGAAAUUGGCCGAGAUCCAAAUGCAUAGACAGCCCACACUGCUCAGCCCUGCCUCCUCCACACAGCUUCUGCCAGUGCCACACCUGCAGCACUCCACCAUGGUCCUGGCUUCGCCUUCCUACUGGGGUUCCACUGUGCCUAAAGCUCCAUCCUUAUAGAUUAGCCUCUCGGGGACUCUGGGGGCACAGGGACUGCCUCCAUGCCACACAGUGUCUGGCCUCAGCUGCUCUCAGUCACCUCACCUGUAUGUCUUUCAUGACUUCCAAACAGAUAACACAUGGAUAGAAGCCAGGUUCUGUUGGCACCUCAAGAUACAGCCUUUCCCUUUGGACCACAGCUGUAUCCGCUUCCGUGGCCGACCUUGAAGACACGCUUUCCUUUGCAGUUGCUCUCCAGGAGCAGGGAAUGCCUUAGGCUUUCUUCCUGUGGAUGAAUUUGCAUCUUUUCCAGAUGGAACCUCUAAGUGGUGUGGUUUGCCUUCAGAGCCCUCCUCAUUCUCUCCUGCAGCACGGGAGGCUCCUCUUGCCCUCUGCAGACAAAGCUGUACAUUUCUUUAUAUCCAGCUUCCCUCAGGCUCUCAGAACAGGAACAGAAUGAAGCCAGACUCUGGCCAAAAUGCCACAGGAAUGACCCCAGCCCAGUUCCCGAGAGCCCUUGUUCCCUCUGUAACUAUUUUCUGGCCUCCACAUUCUUAUCCUCCACACUCCACUAGAUCGCAGGUUAGCCUCUGCUUCCAGCAUUUAAUGGAUUUUCUUAACCAUCUACCAAACACGUCCAUGUUCUUCCCACGAAACAGCUGCAGUGGCCUAGAAGCCACCUGGUCAGAUCAUCACAGCAAGUGCCUACCUCUUGGUUCUAUUGUCUGCCUUAGUUUUGUUUCUUGUUGCUGUGAUAAAAUACUGAAUAAAAGCAACUAGCUUAAGAGACAAAGAGCUUAUUUGGCUCAUAAUUCCAGGUUACAUCCUAUGGAGGUCACAGGGACUUGAAUCAGCCAGUCAACAUUAUAUCCUUAUUCAAGAGCUUAGAGGUAUUCCCAGGCGAUUCCAGAUUAUAUCAAGUCGGCAGUCAGUGCCAACCAUCACACAGCCCGGGGUGGUGACACACACCUAUAGUUCUAACACUCGGGAAUCAGAGGCAGGUACGUCUCUGUGAGUUCAGGGUCAACAUAGAGUCCCGGUCUCAAAAAUAAACCAUCCGAACUAUCCUGGUUUCAUGUCUGUUGCUGAGAUUAAAAACAAACAAACAACCCUAACAGAAAACUGAAUCCCACCAGGUGAGCAUAAUGGUACUAUCAUAAUUUUUGAGCCAAUUUGAAGCAAGUUAUAUUAAAUAUUAUCUAGGAGGAUGGCCACUGUCCAGGUUCAUCCCCAGAACUCUCAAGAGAGUUCUCUCAAGAGAAUAGCCAUGAACUACGUUAGUCAGAUGCUUAUAAAGGUGGAACCCACAAGGCCAUGCACUACUGAAGUGAUUUUUAUGGGAGAUUUUUGCCAUAGUCUUUCUUGUUUAGCUCCCAAGUGAACAACACAGAUAUCAGAAUUAUUAACAAGCUACAAACCUAAACUGGGCAGGUUCUGAGACUAUAAUAACCCUGCUAGCCUAUUAAUAACCAUAAAUGCCCCAUUGCUGGCCAGCUGGUUCUUGGUGUGUUUCAUGUAUGUCCUCAGUGUAAGCUCUUUAGGCCAUGUGGCUUGUUAUCUUACAUGAACAACAGCCCCCAGCAUUCCAGGAAGUGGGCAAGUGGGGCUUACAGGUUAGAAAAAUUUUUGUUUAAUACAUCUCUUCAGUACAGCGAUUUAAAACUUAAAACAUAACUUUAGCCUUUACAAUGCAACUUCAGGAAGAAAGGGUUUAAUUUUAUUGACAAUUCCAGAUUAUAGUUUAUUAUGGGGAAAUCAAGUUACCGGAAUUUGAAGCAACUGGUAAUGUCACAUCCAGUUAAUAGUAGAGGAAAAUAAAUACACACAAGGCCACUUACUUGUGCUCAGUUUCUCCACUCUCCUAUAACUCAGUAUCCCUGACCUAGUGAGUAGUGUUGCCCCCAGUGUGCUGUUAGGGACAAAAGGUGUCUGUCAUAUCAUCCAAUCAUCAUUGCAGCUGUGAGCCACCUGAUGUCGGUACUAGGAAUUGACCUCUAUUCCUUUGGAAGAGCAACAAGUGCUUUUAAUCCACUCAGGCAUCUCUCCAGGUCCCAUAGUGAACUUCUUAAAGGUAGGAUGCUGAUAUUCAUCAAACAGAGAAACUCAUUUUUAUUUAUUAGAAGGUAGAUAAAGUAAAAAAAAGAGGCAGCAUAUCUCUGAGUUCAAGGCCAUCCUGCUCUAAAAAGUAAGUUCCAGGACAGCCAGGGCUACACAGAGAAACCCUGUUUC